UAGGGAAUCUUCGGCAAUGGACGAAAGUCUGACCGAGCAACGCCGCGUGAGUGAAGAAGGUUUUCGGAUCGUAAAACUCUGUUGUUAGAGAAGAACAAGGACGUUAGUAACUGAACGUCCCCUGACGGUAUCUAACCAGAAAGCCACGGCUAACUACGUGCCAGCAGCCGCGGUAAUACGUAGGUGGCAAGCGUUGUCCGGAUUUAUUGGGCGUAAAGCGAGCGCAGGCGGUUUCUUAAGUCUGAUGUGAAAGCCCCCGGCUCAACCGGGGAGGGUCAUUGGAAACUGGGAGACUUGAGUGCAGAAGAGGAGAGUGGAAUUCCAUUUGUAGCGGUGAAAUGCGUAGAUAUAUGGAGGAACACCAGUGGCGAAGGCGGCUCUCUGGUCUGUAACUGCCGCUGAGGCUAGAAAGCAUGGGGAGCAAACAGG
RNAcentral lists this ribosomal RNA (429 nucleotides) under Gemmatimonadota bacterium. Its description in RNAcentral is "Gemmatimonadetes bacterium partial 16S ribosomal RNA". It matches the Rfam family "Bacterial small subunit ribosomal RNA", at positions 355 to 776 of the family's 1533-position model. Lineage: Bacteria; Pseudomonadati; Gemmatimonadota. The record is from RNAcentral.